GGGGAUGUAAAGGUUUCGACAGGGAGGAGAGAGCCGGAGCAGCGGGUAGUGGUGCGGCCCCACUUUAACUGCCGCAACAAAUUAAUUAACAACACUGUUAACUUCAACCGCGCUCGUGUCGCGGUCGCAGCCUAACUUAGUUUAGCUGCCGCCAGCCCCAUGCACCGCCGAAUGGGUGUCUGACGUCAUUUAGGCGGUAAAUGUGAACAUCCUUAAGCUUUGCGGGGUGUCAUAAAUUCAUGAAGCUACCGACGCGGCGGCCUGAUUGCCGGCCUGCCGCCGGGGGAAUCCUGUAGACAAUCUGCACCCGGAGAUACUCCCGCCGACUUCUUUUUGGACACGGGUUCGAUUCCCGUCAUCUCCACCA
Molecule: transfer-messenger RNA, 367 nt
Filed under: Ruminococcaceae bacterium OttesenSCG-928-D13
Lineage: Bacteria; Bacillati; Bacillota; Clostridia; Eubacteriales; Oscillospiraceae
Rfam family: transfer-messenger RNA
About the family: Bacterial tmRNA, also known as 10Sa RNA or SsrA, is named for its dual tRNA and mRNA-like properties.
Source: RNAcentral